AUGCUUGCUUCAGCAACACAUAUACUAAAACUGGAACAAUCCAGAUAUUAGCUUGGCUCCUGAGCAAAAAGUACCCAAAUUCAGGAGGUGUUCCAUACUCAA
RNAcentral lists this small nuclear RNA (102 nucleotides) under Nannospalax galili (Upper Galilee mountains blind mole rat). Lineage: Eukaryota; Metazoa; Chordata; Mammalia; Rodentia; Spalacidae. The record is from RNAcentral.